RNAcentral lists this unclassified non-coding RNA (207 nucleotides) under soil metagenome. RNAcentral describes it as "partial internal transcribed spacer 1". The record is from RNAcentral.
CCGAGUUUACAACUCCCAAACCCAAUGUGAACGUUACCUAAACUGUUGCCUCGGCGGGAUCUCUGCCCCGGGUGCGUCGCAGCCCCGGACCAAGGCGCCCCGCCCGGAGGACCAACCAAAACUCUUAUUGUAUACCCCCUCGCGGGUUUUUUUUUUAUAAUCUGAGGCCUUCUCGGCGCCUCUCGUAGGCGUUUCGAAAAUGAAUCA